AACGAACGCUGGCGGCAUGCCUAACACAUGCAAGUCGAACGAGACCUCCGGGUUUUGUGGCGCACGGGUGCGUAAGGCGGGGGAACCUGCACUUAGGUUACGAACAACUCACCGUAAGGGGUGUUAAUACCGGUUAAUCUCUUCGGACCAAGGAUCUAUGGCGUUUGGCUGGGCCCGGGUUGGCUUGGCGGGUUGGUAGGGUAAAAGCCUACCAAGGCGUCGUUCCAUAGCUGGUCGGUGAGGAGGCUCCGCCACACUGGGACUGAGACACGGCCCAGACUCCUACGGGAGGGAGGAGUGGGGAAUAUUGUACGAGGGGCGAAAGCCUGGUCCAGCAAUGCCGGGUAAGUGAUGAAGGCCUUAGGGUUGUGAAGCUCUUUUACCCGAGAUGAUAAUGACGGUACCGGGAGAAUAAGCACCGGCUAACUACGUG
RNAcentral lists this ribosomal RNA (433 nucleotides) under uncultured bacterium. Its description in RNAcentral is "partial 16S ribosomal RNA". It matches the Rfam family "Bacterial small subunit ribosomal RNA", at positions 29 to 507 of the family's 1533-position model. The record is from RNAcentral.